AUCUGCCAGAGCCUGGAGUCUGCGAAGGCCGGGACCCGGUUCCCCGGCCCACAGUGGGGGUGUGCAAACCCGAGAGAACUGGUCGCUGAAACCUCUACAACUUAGUUGACCGUAACUGCCAGAGCCCUGCCCUGAAUUCCUGUCCUUACUCCCUCUUUAAGAUUGCGUACCCACUGCAGAGUGCUGAAGACGGGGUAGCCACGAGGAAGUGCCGUCAGAAGCGAUAACUGACGAAGACUACUCCUGUCUGAUUGCAGUCAAGUCUUCACCACUUGCUGGUUCCCAGGAGUAAACUUGUUUGAACGGUGACCUAAUUGCUAUAUUCACCUAGGUUGCAAAUUCGUGAAGAAUCAGCAUCAUGUUUGGCAGCUGAGUAUUGGAGCCAGGAGCCUGCCAUGAGGUUUUGAGAACAGAGUGCUGUUUUAGAGCUGGCAGCAGCAUCUCAGCCCAAGAGAAGGUUAUAUUCCCAGAGGAUGUCAGUCCCAAGGACCAGUAGCUGCCAUCAGUUUGGAUUCUGAAAACUAACUGGCAUCAACACUGGGUGUAGAAACAUGCUUGCCUUAUGUAUCAGAGGACAUGCUCAGCAGAUCCAAGAGAUAUAUUUGGCAACUUUUUCUAGAAAAGGCACAUUGGGUAUCAUUCAUUACAUUCUUGAGUUUUUUUGGGUUUUUUUUUUUUUUUUUGAGACAGUCUUGCUGUAUUGCCCAGGCUGGAGUGUGGUGGCACAAUCACAGCUCAUUGCAUCCUCAAUCACCCAGGCCUAAGCAAUCCUCCCACCUUGUAGCUGGGACUACAGCUCACAGCACACCUGGCUAAAAUUUUUUUUUUGUUGAGACGGAUUCUCUAUGUUGCCCAGGCUGGUCUCAGGCUCCUGGGCUCAGAUGGUCCUCCUGCCUCAGCUUCCAAAGGCACAGGCCAAGUUGUAGCUUUGUCCCUUGCCAUCAUGCCCAACAAGAGGUUCUAUACCUUUUAAUGAAUUGACUUUCAUAAAUUGGUUAUGUUGGUGGGCAAAGUUCUUUAAGCUGGAAAUUGUAAAUUCCUCCUGAAAUGUUUUUUCAUGCAGUUACCAUGAACUAAUACUACAAUAAAGGAUGGUCUUGG
RNAcentral lists this long non-coding RNA (1101 nucleotides) under Homo sapiens (human). RNAcentral's name for it is "HSALNT0237857". The stretch from base 180 to 253 matches the Rfam family "Small nucleolar RNA SNORD49". Lineage: Eukaryota; Metazoa; Chordata; Mammalia; Primates; Hominidae. The record is from RNAcentral.